Dendronephthya gigantea is the source of this 687-nucleotide long non-coding RNA. RefSeq lists it as uncharacterized. Lineage: Eukaryota; Metazoa; Cnidaria; Anthozoa; Malacalcyonacea; Nephtheidae. The record is from RefSeq and is a predicted model, not a curated record. The transcript has 5 exons.
UUGGUAGAAGCUAAAGAAUAUUUUGUAACCUAAGUCUUCGCCGCUUCGGGUCCAAAUCAUCCUCUCCAAACGUUAAGGCGACGUCCUCCGUCGCAUCGUCUGACAUCUAAAGAACAACAUUAGAGAAAUGACGAAUCUGCGAAAAGCCGAAAAACAUCAAAUACCAAGAGAUCCAGACAAAAAUUAGGUGUUUGGCCUGCAUCCUAACGCGGACAUAACGUAUCAAGCUAAGACAACCACGGACGUGUUGGAAACUAUUGUGAAUAUUCAGACAGCCUAAGGAUAGCGGUGGAGGAGGCGGAGAAACACGUGAAACAGUCGUGUUCAGACAGGCUUCUGAAAUGCUGGAUAAGUUACCAGACAACUAUGUACCUCAUGAGGUGGCGAUCGAAGGUAGACAGCAAGAUCGAAGCUCAGCAAGAUUGAAGAUUGUUCGAGGAAGAAGGAGUUCGUUGACUAAAAGGUUUAUCUGAACAGCUAGUUGUCAAGAUGAACGUGAAGAGAAAAAGAUAAAAUGGCGAUGCCAAAGAAAACCAUCCACGUGGACCGUUCGCGGACCUUUCUGAGCAAGAUUGUUGUGCUGUCUGGUCAAACCAGUUAUCAAGACGAACGUCAAGAGAACAGUUGAAAUUGAAAUCAGUUCAAGACUCGCCCGGCCGAAUUCAAAAUGGCGAUGCCGAAGAAAAU